UUUAGAUAAUUAUUCACGCUAUUUCUGCUGGAGUUACUAAUGCUCUUUUGUUUUUGUUUUUGUUUUUGUUUUUGUGUUUGUUUUUGUUUUUGUUUUUCCUUUCAUUCACUAAGCCGGGGGUCCAUUGGAAACAGCCUCUCUGCCCUUUCGGAUAGGGGUAAGGCUCGUCUACAUAUUACCCUUCCCAGACCCCACUUUGUGGGACUAUACUGGGUUGUUGUUGUUAUCCAAAAGCAUUGUCCAAUUCGUCAUUGAAUUAGUUUAAGUUGAGAGUCAUGCUUUCAAGCACUGCAGUAAAGAAAACAUUAUUUUUCUAUCUUCUGUACCAGGGUUUGAUGUCAAUGACCUAUCUGAAAAUGCUAUUGAUGAUGAUGAGGGUUUAGAUGCUUCAGCAGCAUAUGUGGCGAGUUUGUUGGCUACGGAGCCCCCUCACAGUAAGCCGUUCCUGUGUCUUAUACUAACUUGUGCACAAUCAUUUGAAUCACAAACUUGUAUAAAGCACAUGUUUUACCCAUGAAGGGAUAACCCCUCGCAUCGAAUCGCUUCAAGCGGCCAAGGGAUGGAUUUUAAUAAUAGUGUAUACUAUGAUGUCUGACUAAGGAUAUUUAGCUUUCCAUCUCCCUCUUUUUUUUUUCAAUGUUAUUCUCUUUAUGCUGCUGGAUUUUUGGUGUGACUGUGUUUACUGCUUGAGGGGUUGCUCUGAUGGUAAGCAACCCCCACUUUCAAUCGAGAGGUUGUGAGUUCGAGUC
Molecule: long non-coding RNA, 749 nt
Filed under: Nicotiana benthamiana
Lineage: Eukaryota; Viridiplantae; Streptophyta; Magnoliopsida; Solanales; Solanaceae
Description: long non-coding RNA (NBEN_LNC037996)
Source: RNAcentral